RNAcentral lists this long non-coding RNA (942 nucleotides) under Equus caballus (horse). Its description in RNAcentral is "lncRNA (ENSECAG00000036852.3)". The record is from RNAcentral. Lineage: Eukaryota; Metazoa; Chordata; Mammalia; Perissodactyla; Equidae.
UAUAUCCAGCUCUCUGGGUGAGGAAAGCAGGACCACGCUGCCUGGCUUCUGCUGUCCUCCUCAAGUCUUCAGGUCGUGAAGCUAAGGCCCAAAGUGAGCAGACUCAUGAUGAAUCCAUUGGGGCCACCAUUAUAAUGAUUCUGAUCUGCAGGCUCGAGUGCAGACUGAGGGGAGGAAAGAAGGGAGAUUCCACGGGAAGGAGGUUAGCUACAGGUCAAGACACUUCACUUAUUGGAAUGUGGACAUUUGGGGAGGAUCACUGGCUGCCAUGUCAUGGAUACACCCAGGAAGUUUCUGGUGAAACCCACAUAUGCGGAUGCGAGACACACAAAUAACCAUGGUUCUUCCUGCCCCAGCCCCUGACCUCAGUGAGAUUGCCCAUCCCUCACUCCCACAGCCUGGAACCCCAUUGCAGCACCAAUUCUCUACAACUGGCAGGCAUGUUGGUCCCACACUGUUAGAGCUGAUUGGGCUAUUUCUGCAUUAUAUCAGGAGCCUCUACAAUCAGAGCUGGUGUGAACACACAAUGGAGAUGCCCUUGGGCAUUCACAGUGGCUGCCAGAGAACAUCGUGAGCUUCCCACAAAGGUAUUCUGGAAGCUGAGCUAAUGUGUGGAAGUAUCUGGUAAUUAAAUCAAGGUCAAACACAUCAGCAUGAUAGAAUUGAGAGCACUAGAGGAGGGCACAUCUGAGAAAUAUGUAUUUUUCUCAGAUUCUAAAAACAAGUCAGGAACCUAGCCUCCGCAGUAUUCCUACACCAAGUUCUCCUUGUCAGUAAAAUCCCUUGGAUGGGGGAAAUGCACUCCCCGGCAUCUGAUUUAGUCUGUGUCUACAUUCAUUUACUCACUUAACAAAUAUUUCUUGACUAUGUUCAAGGACAAGACAUAGACUGAGAACUGCUGAUACAAAGAUGAAUCCAACCCCUGAUUGUCUUCAAGGAGUU